RNAcentral lists this ribosomal RNA (882 nucleotides) under Staphylococcus sp. Its description in RNAcentral is "bacterial SSU rRNA". It matches the Rfam family "Bacterial small subunit ribosomal RNA", at positions 34 to 894 of the family's 1533-position model. The record is from RNAcentral. Lineage: Bacteria; Bacillati; Bacillota; Bacilli; Caryophanales; Staphylococcaceae.
CGCCCCAUUGGGAUAGCUUCUAUACAUGCAGUCGAGCGACAGACGAGGAGCUUGCUCCUCUGACGUUAGCGGCGGACGGGUGAGUAACACGUGGAUAACCUACCUAUAAGACUGGGAUAACUUCGGGAAACCGGAGCUAAUACCGGAUAAUAUAUUGAACCGCAUGGUUCAAUAGUGAAAGACGGUUUUGCUGUCACUUAUAGAUGGAUCCGCGCCGCAUUAGCUAGUUGGUAAGGUAACGGCUUACCAAGGCAACGAUGCGUAGCCGACCUGAGAGGGUGAUCGGCCACACUGGAACUGAGACACGGUCCAGACUCCUACGGGAGGCAGCAGUAGGGAAUCUUCCGCAAUGGGCGAAAGCCUGACGGAGCAACGCCGCGUGAGUGAUGAAGGUCUUCGGAUCGUAAAACUCUGUUAUUAGGGAAGAACAAAUGUGUAAGUAACUAUGCACGUCUUGACGGUACCUAAUCAGAAAGCCACGGCUAACUACGUGCCAGCAGCCGCGGUAAUACGUAGGUGGCAAGCGUUAUCCGGAAUUAUUGGGCGUAAAGCGCGCGUAGGUGGUUUUUUAAGUCUGAUGUGAAAGCCCACGGCUCAACCGUGGAGGGUCAUUGGAAACUGGAAAACUUGAGUGCAGAAGAGGAAAGUGGAAUUCCAUGUGUAGCGGUGAAAUGCGCAGAUAUAUGGAAGGAACACCAGUGGCGAAAGGCGACUUUCUGGUCUGUAACUGACUCUGAUGUGCUAAAGCCCGGGAUCAAACAGGAUUACAUACCCUGGUAGUCCACUCGUCAACGAUUAAUGCUAACGGUCAGGGAGUUUCAGCCCUAAUGCCUCCACUUUACCCACUCACUCUCUCCGCCUUGGGAAGCACGACCCGCAGCU